Molecule: long non-coding RNA, 2474 nt
Filed under: Malus domestica (apple)
Lineage: Eukaryota; Viridiplantae; Streptophyta; Magnoliopsida; Rosales; Rosaceae
Description: long non-coding RNA (MDOM_LNC002206)
Source: RNAcentral
GUUGUGAUUGGCUCAUAUUUUAAGCUGGCAACAAUGAAGUGACCCAUGUGUUUUCGGCAGUGGAUGAUUUGUGCAAUUGUGCAUGCUUUGCAUUUAGUGGAAAAAUAAUGUGGUGCACUUUCGGAUAAAUAGUGGAAGACAUGUUUGCUUGGGAUUCUUUCCACUUUGUCCUUGUUUUGGUUUCCCAUUGGAAUGCCACGUGAGUGGCUUUGAGUUUGGUCAAAAGGCAAAGCAGAAAGUAGGAGCAUCAUGAUGCAUCAUGAUUAUGUUUGUAAAGGAAGGAAAGUUUAUUUUUUUUCUUUGUUUAAAGGCAGAAGCAGGGCAUUAGAGAGAGUGAGAGCAUUCGGCUCUCUUCUAAGAAGGCAUCAGAGAGCAUCCAAAGGGGGAGAGCAUUCGGCUCUCCCAUGGGAAAGCAUGGGCAUGGGUGAGAGAAAAAUCAAGAGAGCUAGAGUGAAAAGUAUUCUAGUGAAAAAACUCUUGGGGUAGAGUGAGGCUCUUGGGAAAAUUCUAUGAGUGGGUGUGCAAGGGAUGCGGGAUUGGGUUAUGUCGAUUUAACUCAUGUGUACUUGUACUGUUAUUCUCAUAGUGAAGAGCAAUAUCUCUCCGGGGACGUAGGCAGAAUUUUUUGCCGAACCUCGUAAAUUUCUCGGUGUCUUUAUUUCUUGUAUUUUAUUCUGUUUAACUGAGUGUGAUUUUGGUGAGGUUGUAAUCUGAAUCUCGUUUCCGCACUAAUGAACGGACCAAGGCACAACAAUUGGUAUCAGAGCAUCGUUGGGGGCUUUGGUUCGUUGGAGGUCCAGAUUUGUUGUUCACCAUGGAAUUUUCAGUUGAACAGUUUAAUGGGAAAGGCAGUUUUGCUCUUGGUAAAGGAGAGUAAUGGAAGCCUGAAGAAAUGGAAGCCGUGUUCAGGGAUGCUUGGAUCAACUGCGAAAGUUGAUGUUGAGGAAGAAGACAAAGGCCUCUUUCUUCUUACCUCACUUUCAGAUUCGUACGAGAACCUUGUGAAACUUUAAUGCAUGGAAAGAUACAGUAAGUUUGGAGCAGGUGCAAGCUUCUUUGGUGUGAAAUGAUACACAAAGGAGACCAUGGAUGAUGGUGGGCACAAGACUGCUUAAGUUAUUCAAGGUUGGAAUCGUGGAAGAAAAUUGGAAAGAGGAUUUGAGAGAGACAGCAGGUUCAGAUCCGGUUCCGAAGGCAAGGGUCCACAGUGCUACGAAUGCAAGGCUGGGUUGUAGCAAUUUUGUGGCGGAAGACUUCGAGUAUGCCCUCUAGGUACUCGAAGCAACACUUCUCCUGGUGAUGUAUAGUCUAAAGUGUUGCAGGGGUUUUGCAGCAGGUGGAGCUAUAGGAUUCACAGGUGAUCAGAUGGUACUGAGGAAAGGAAGUGUGGGAAUUUUGUCUGGUUCGAUGGGUUGUUGCUGGAAACGGGCGCGCUGACGAGUUUCCAGGUUGCAGACAAUAAAGAGGAGGAAAACCUGUUGGAGGAGACGAGGGUGUGUCGAGAUCCUGUCUGAAGCUAAAUUGUGAUUUUUAGCUUGCAGCAGCUGCACAUGCAUUGGCAGUGACUGAAUCGGAAUAGGACCAAUGAGGUGGAUUCAGAGUGUGCAUGCUGGUACGUAAGGCCAAUGGACUUUGGUGAUGGGUGCAAGGAUUUUUGCACUGUAUAUUCGCCAAGGUGGAGAUUGUUGUGAUUGGCUCAUAUUUUAAGCUGGCAACAAUGAAGUGACCCAUGUGUUUUCGGCAGUGGAUGAUUUGUGCAAUUGUGCAUGCUUUGCAUUUAGUGGAAAAAUAAUGUGGUGCACUUUCGGAUAAAUAGUGGAAGACAUGUUUGCUUGGGAUUCUUUCCACUUUGUCCUUGUUUUGGUUUCCCAUUGGAAUGCCACGUGAGUGGCUUUGAGUUUGGUCAAAAGGCAAAGCAGAAAGUAGGAGCAUCAUGAUGCAUCAUGAUUAUGUUUGUAAAGGAAGGAAAGUUUAUUUUUUUUCUUUGUUUAAAGGCAGAAGCAGGGCAUUAGAGAGAGUGAGAGCAUUCGGCUCUCUUCUAAGAAGGCAUCAGAGAGCAUCCAAAGGGGGAGAGCAUUCGGCUCUCCCAUGGGAAAGCAUGGGCAUGGGUGAGAGAAAAAUCAAGAGAGCUAGAGUGAAAAGUAUUCUAGUGAAAAAACUCUUGGGGUAGAGUGAGGCUCUUGGGAAAAUUCUAUGAGUGGGUGUGCAAGGGAUGCGGGAUUGGGUUAUGUCGAUUUAACUCAUGUGUACUUGUACUGUUAUUCUCAUAGUGAAGAGCAAUAUCUCUCUGGGGACGUAGGCAGAAUUUUUUGCCGAACCUCGUAAAUUUCUCGGUGUCUUUAUUUCUUGUAUUUUAUUCUGUUUAACUGAGUGUGAUUUUGGUGAGGUUGUAAUCUGAAUCUCGUUUCCGCACUAAUGAACGGACCAAGGCACAACAACAUUUUCCUUUACAUGCAAGUAUCUCACCACAUUUU